UAAUACGUAGGGGGCGAGCGUUGUCCGGAGUGACUGGGCGUAAAGCGCGCGCAGGCGGCCAUCCGCGCCGGUCGUGAAAGCCCCCGGCUCAACCGGGGCACGUCGAUCGGGACGGGGUGGCUGGAGGGUGUCAGAGGGGGGUGGAACGCCGCGUGGAGCAGUGAAAUGCGUAGAGAUGCGGCAGAACACCGGAGGCGAAGGCGGCCCCCUGGGGCACAUCUGACGCUGAGGCGCGAAGGCGCGGGGAGCGAACGGGAUUAGAUACCCCGGUAGUCCGCGCAGUAAACGAUGGCGGCUGGCUGUCGGCGGUUUGACCCCGUCGGUGGCUGAGCUAACGCGCAAGCCGCCCGCCUGGGGAGUACGGCCGCAAGGCUA
This 375-nucleotide ribosomal RNA is filed under the name uncultured bacterium. RNAcentral describes it as "bacterial SSU rRNA". It matches the Rfam family "Bacterial small subunit ribosomal RNA", at positions 521 to 896 of the family's 1533-position model. The record is from RNAcentral.